UUGAAGGUGGGCUGGCGGCGGGUCCGGGUCUGCAGGCUGGUUCUGCGGACUGCGGGCCAUGGUUGGUUGGACUGAACCGUGCCGGCCUGGAGCGCUGAGCUGGAGGGGGUGGCAGUGAGCGGACGCUGCGGGCUCGAUUUGGCUGAUUGGGGAGUCAGCAGGAGGCAGGAGCCAUGCAGGGCCAGCGGAGCCUGCUGCUGGGCCCUGCCCGCCUCUGCCUGCGCCUGCUUCUGCUCCUGGGCUCCAGGCGCCGCUGCCCACCUCUGCUCCGGGGCCUGGUACAGCGCUGGCGCUAUGGCAAGGUCUGCCUGCGCUCCCUGGUCUACAACUCCUUCGGGGGCGGUGACACUGCUGUCGAUGCUGCUUUUGAGCCUAUCUACUGGCUGGUGGACAACGUGAUCCGCUGGUGUGGGGUGGUGUUCGUGGUACUGGUGAUUGUGUUGACCGGCUCCAUCGUGGCCAUCGCCUACCUAUGUGUCCUACCCCUCAUUCUCCGAACCUACUCAGUGCCACGACUCUGCUGGCAUUUCUUCUAUAGUCAUUGGAAUCUGAUCCUCAUCGUCUUCCAUUACUACCAGGCCAUCACCACUCCACCUGGAUAUCCACCCCAGGGCAGGAAUGAUAUCGCAACCGUCUCCAUCUGUAAGAAGUGCAUCUACCCCAAGCCAGCCCGAACACACCACUGCAGCGUCUGCAAUAGGUGUGUGCUGAAGAUGGAUCAUCACUGUCCCUGGCUAAACAACUGUGUGGGCCACUAUAACCAUCGGUACUUCUUCUCUUUCUGCUUUUUCAUGACUCUGGGCUGUGUCUACUGCAGCUAUGGAAGUUGGGACCUUUUCCGGGAGGCUUAUGCUGCCAUUGAGAAAAUGAAACAGCUCGACAAGAACAAACUACAGGCGAUUGCCAACCAGACUUAUCACCAGACCCCACCACCCACCUUCUCCUUCCGAGAAAGGGUGACUCACAAGAGUCUUGUCUACCUCUGGUUCCUGUGCAGUUCUGUGGCACUUGCUCUGGGUGCCCUAACUGUAUGGCAUGCUGUUCUCAUCAGUCGAGGUGAGACUAGUAUUGAAAGGCAUAUCAACAAGAAGGAGAGACGUCGGCUGCAGGCCAAGGGCAGAGUUUUUAGGAAUCAUUACAACUAUGGCUGCUUGGACAACUGGAAGUUAUUCCUGGGUGUGGACACAGGAAGGCAUUGGCUUACUCGGGUGCUGUUACCUUCUAGUCAUCUGCCCCACGGGAAUGGAAUGAUCUGGGACCCCCCUCCCUGGGUGACUGCUCAGUCAGCCUCUGUGAUGGCAGUGUGAGCUGGAUUCUAUCAGCCACAAUUUGAGCAUCACCCUGCUUCCUGCAUUGUCUCAAGGGCUUCCAAGGGUAGCUUCUUGGAAUUCUUGAGCAAAAAGAGCCAGUGGGCCUGCCUUAGGGUUCCAUGCAGGGACAACUCAAGACCUAUCUCCUGGCCACUACAGAAGCACGGCACCAUGUGGAAAAAUCCUGGGACUGAUGAGUUCCUUUACUCAGGCAAACAGAAGUUCCAGCCACAGACUGGAGAAUAGGCAGCUAGCAACCUUGCCAGGUGCUGACCCCAACCUCCAGGUUGCAGCACUGGAGUUGGCCACCACCUCUUCCACUUGCUGUCUGAGAAAACACCUGAAUGGUCGAGCUGAGAUCCUGGCUUCUCAACAGGGCAAAGAUACCAGGCCUACUGCUGAGGUCACUGCCACUUCUCACAUGCUGAAGGAGCAAAAAUAAAGAAUGCUGCUAAGGAAGAAGUCAAGGAGGUCCUCAGCAUCAGCCCUCAGCACAGU
Molecule: RNA transcript, 1808 nt
Organism: Molossus molossus (Pallas's mastiff bat)
Lineage: Eukaryota; Metazoa; Chordata; Mammalia; Chiroptera; Molossidae
Gene: ZDHHC16
Gene name: zinc finger DHHC-type palmitoyltransferase 16
Exons: 12
Source: RefSeq, a predicted model, not a curated record